This 87-nucleotide transfer RNA is filed under the name Sphingopyxis sp. BSNA05. RNAcentral's name for it is "tRNA-Ser". It matches the Rfam family "tRNA". From Rfam's summary of the family: Transfer RNA (tRNA) molecules are approximately 80 nucleotides in length. Their secondary structure includes four short double-helical elements and three loops (D, anti-codon, and T loops). The record is from RNAcentral. Lineage: Bacteria; Pseudomonadati; Pseudomonadota; Alphaproteobacteria; Sphingomonadales; Sphingopyxidaceae.
GGAGCCGUGGCAGAGUGGUCGAUCGCGCACGCUUGGAAAGCGUGUAUAGGGCAACCUAUCGAGGGUUCGAAUCCCUCCGCUCCGCCA